Molecule: long non-coding RNA, 1756 nt
Organism: Diceros bicornis minor
Lineage: Eukaryota; Metazoa; Chordata; Mammalia; Perissodactyla; Rhinocerotidae
Exons: 4
Source: RefSeq, a predicted model, not a curated record
UUUAGCUGAAGAUGGUAUUUAAGGUGGUGGCUUCUGCCAUUUUGGUGAGUUACUCAGUUUUCCUGGGUCUUUACCGUGUAUACAGGAGGUAUACAUGUUAUAAAUCUUCUGUUAGUUUUUCUCCUGUUAGUCUGCCUCAUGUCAAUUUAAUUAUACAACCACAGCCAGAAGAACUUAGAAGGGUAGAGGAGAAAUUUUUCCUCCCUGACAGUUGGUGAGCCAGCCAGGAGACUUCGCUGGCGGGACACUGCUCUCUCUGGGACUGCUGUGGCUGAGAGAUCCUGGACGUGUGACAAGAGCCAGCAGAAGGGGCAGAGGCGGGAGCUGCAGCACCUUCAAAAACCUCCACUAACAGCCUGAUCUCCGAGGUGCUCUGAGCCCCGUACUUCAGAGACCCAGAGAGCAGAAAAGAAGUUAGACUUCCCACCUCAACAGAGAAUCCAGAGAUUCUCUGGCAUGCCAACAACAGGAAGCAGUUAGAGAUACCACCCUGGACAUGGAUGCUGGCAUUCUGAUAACAGAGAAUCUGAUUGCAUUCAAACUACCCAGCUGGAGAAGUCAGCUACCUUUGGAAGAGUUGAUAUCAAAGAAGGAUCUGUGAAGAGCUCUCGUACCCUGUGCAGGGGGUUGAAGGUGGCCCGAGGUGGCCAUCAUCACCUCUUCACAACUCAGGAGGCCAGAGCGGGCAUGCCGCCAUCUCCUGCAGGUACUGGAGCAUUUGUGAACUUACCACUCCAGAAGAUGAGAGAACAGAUUUGAGCAGGUUCACGCUAAUUUUCAAAAACUUUCGUGCUACUUUGACUCAUUGUUCCCUCAAUAGUCAUAUCAAUUAAUACACAUCCAAUUAGAUUUUAGAACUUUAAUUAGUAUUAAAACCAUUUAAUUUAAUCUACUUUACAGGUCCACACAUUGCAGAAUUCUAUAUAAGUCAAUGAUGAUAACUACCUCUUUUACAGAUCUUUGUCUUAAAAAAUAAUCAUGGCGUGCUCUUCUCUAGCACUUGUAAUAGCAGGUGCUGUUCCGGAUACUCUAAGCCUAUUAAUUCACUUGAUCCUCCGACCCACCCGAGGAAGUAAGUGCCAUUCACAUCUUACAGAUGAGGAAACUAAGCAACAUGGAGCUAAGUAUCUUGCCCACGCCCCACAACUGUGAGUAGUAGGACCAGGAUGCAGACCUGGCUGUGUGGGCUCAGACUCUGGACUUUUGGAUGUUAUGCUGUCUAACCUAAGUUCUCAGAGCUAUACGUUCUUCAAGUGAAUUAUGUCUACAAAAUGUAAUCCGUUAUUCCUCAGAUAUGUAACUGUGCUUAAAGUAAGGCACUGCUACACAAGAGGUAGCCAAGUCAGUCACCUGAUGAUAAAACACGUAAGCAUAGACCCAUGGAAACAUAUCCAAGAGCACCAACUGGUAAACAAGAGUUAAGUAAGCCAAGUGUGGAGAAAGAAAUUCCAUAUGAGUUUAGAAGAGAAACUCCUAAGUCAAGGUUAUUAGCAAAUGGUUCAGAAUGAGAGUGGGGUUUGAGGUGUCAUUGAAAAAAGAGGAAUAGGAUUUGAGAAAGGAAUAGGAUUGAGAAUGAAGGUCAGCUUGAGCAAAGAGCAGGAAGGAGGAAAGCAAAGGAUUGUUAACAGAACAGCAAAUACACCAACCGCUGGAGAAGGGGAACCACCAGCACCAACUGGUGGUCUAAGGAUUCAUUCAUUCUUGUAUGUAAUGUUCUUUGGACAUCAUGAAAAAAUAAGUAUUUAAAUUAAGCCUA